UACGAAGGGGGCUAGCGUUGCUCGGAAUCACUGGGCGUAAAGGGUGCGUAGGCGGGUCUUCAAGUCGGUUGUGAAAUCCCCCAGCUCAACUGGGGAACUGCAUCCGAUACUGUCUGUCUUGAGGACGAGAGGGGAGAGUGGAACUUCUGGUGGAGCGGUGAAAUGCGUAGAUAUCAGAAGGAACGCCGGUGGCGAAAGCGACUCUCUGGCUCGUAUCUGACGCUGAGGCGCGAAAGCUUGGGUAGCAAACGGG
RNAcentral lists this ribosomal RNA (253 nucleotides) under uncultured bacterium. Its description in RNAcentral is "partial 16S ribosomal RNA". It matches the Rfam family "Bacterial small subunit ribosomal RNA", at positions 524 to 776 of the family's 1533-position model. The record is from RNAcentral.